This 769-nucleotide ribosomal RNA is filed under the name Hypotrachyna afrorevoluta. RNAcentral describes it as "SSU rRNA". It matches the Rfam family "Bacterial small subunit ribosomal RNA", at positions 357 to 1118 of the family's 1533-position model. The record is from RNAcentral. Lineage: Eukaryota; Fungi; Ascomycota; Lecanoromycetes; Lecanorales; Parmeliaceae.
GAGRAUGUAUAGCAUAGCUAGUUGCAUCAUAGUAAAUAUGAUGCAAGAUUGACUAUGUUGAAUAAAAUUCUAGGUAUGAUUAUGAUAAUGACAUUGUCUGCCUAUAUGUCUUGACCAAAUUACGUGCCAGCAGUCGCGGUAAUACGUAGAAGACUAGUGUUAUUCAUGUUUAAUCGGUUUAAAGGGUACCUAGACGGCAGAUCAAGCUUUCCGAGCAGAAAAAAGUAAAAAGGACUAAUUUGCUAGAGUUACUUACGGUGGGGUUUUAAAGUACUGCUGGUGUAGAGAUGAAAUCCUAUUAUACCUAAGUUCGAGAGAAUAAUAAUGGCACAGGUAUAGGCGAAGGCAUCCCCUUAUGUGAUAACUGACGUUGAGGGACGAAGGCUUUUAACAGCGAACGGGAUUAGAUACCCCAUUAGUGGAAGCAGUAAAUGAUGAAUGUCAUAGAUUAGUAGAUAGGUUCAUUCUAUAAAUGAAAGUGUAAGCAUUCCACCUCAUGAGUAAUAUGGCAACAUUGGAAUUGAAAUCAUUAGACCGUUUCUGAAACCAGUAGUGAAGUAUGUUGUUUAAUUUGAUGAUCCGCAAAAAACCUUACCACAAUUUGAAUAUAUAUAUUUUUUUUUUUCGCUAUUAAUUUUCUUCUAAAGAGAAAAUAUAUUAAUAAAGAGGCAAUAAGAUAUAUUUACAAGCGCUGCACGGUUGUCUUCAGUUAAUGUCGCGAGAUUUUGGUUAGAUCCAUUAAAUUAACGUAAACCCUUACUUUAUUUUU